GGGGUGAGUAACACGUGGAUAACCUACCUAUAAGACUGGGAUAACUUCGGGAAACCGGAGCUAAUACCGGAUAAUAUUUUGAACCGCAUGGUUCAAAAGUGAGAGACGGUCUUGCUGUCACUUAUAGAUGGAUCCGCGCUGCAUUAGCUAGUUGGUAAGGUAACGGCUUACCAAGGCAACGAUGCAUAGCCGACCUGAGAGGGUGAUCGGCCACACUGGAACUUAGACACGGUCCAG
RNAcentral lists this ribosomal RNA (237 nucleotides) under uncultured Staphylococcus sp. RNAcentral describes it as "partial 16S ribosomal RNA". It matches the Rfam family "Bacterial small subunit ribosomal RNA", at positions 104 to 334 of the family's 1533-position model. The record is from RNAcentral. Lineage: Bacteria; Bacillati; Bacillota; Bacilli; Caryophanales; Staphylococcaceae.